UCCCUAGUAGCUCAGAUGGUAAAGCAUCUGCCUGCAAUGCAGGAGACCCAGGUUCGAUCCCUGGGUCAGGAA
Molecule: transfer RNA, 72 nt
Filed under: Bos taurus (domestic cattle)
Lineage: Eukaryota; Metazoa; Chordata; Mammalia; Artiodactyla; Bovidae
Also listed under: 1 other name
Rfam family: tRNA
About the family: Transfer RNA (tRNA) molecules are approximately 80 nucleotides in length.
Source: Rfam by way of RNAcentral